Gasterosteus aculeatus aculeatus (three-spined stickleback) is the source of this 1568-nucleotide long non-coding RNA. The record is from Ensembl. NCBI's taxonomy places the organism in Eukaryota, Metazoa, Chordata, Actinopteri, Perciformes, Gasterosteidae.
GGCAAGAGGAUCAGCAUCUGCUCCUAUGGAUCAGCUGCGCGGACCCAAGUCCUUGGUGUUUGUUUACACAUAUUAUAAGCUGUCUGAGGGGUGCCAGCCUGUCCCGGUGUAACGCCACCCAGCGCCCCCUGCCAGGCAUCUGCACCCGGUAGACAACCUCUCCCAGCCGCUCCAGGACCAGACACGGUCCCACCCAGUGGCUUUCCAGCUUAGGGCACCUGCCUUUCUUCCAUUCAGGAGUGUAUGUCCACACCAGCUCCCCAGCCGCAAAGUGUCGGCCCUUGGCCCGGACGUCAUAAUUCCUCUUUUGUCGCACGCCCGCACUACGCAUGUGCAGAGUCCAAGCAGUCCUGCAGCCGCCUGGCGUAGUCCGGGCCUGUGAGUGGGAGAAGGCCCAGAACGUCUACCCCCAGCCGCUGCAUGGGCCCCCCCACUGGAAACUGCUGUAGCUGAGCCCUGGACUGGCCCUGUGGUCCUUUGCAGGCAGUGCAGAGAUCACAGCACCGACAAAAGUCUUCAACGUCUCUCCUCAGCCGCCCCAAAUAGAAGGCUUGACAGACCCGCAGGAGUGUAUUGGUCACCCCAAAGUGACCGGAGCCUGCAGAGCCAUGCAUGGCUUCGAGAACAGCCCCUGCAUCCCUCUGGGUACCACCGCCUGCCACUUUUUCUCUCCCGACCCUGGUUCCAACCAUGCCCGCUGAAGGACCCCAUCAGCCAGCUGCAAAGAAUUAGAUUUAGCCCACAGCCCUUUUGUCCAUGGGGAGAGAGCGGCCACCUCCUCGCAGGGCGGCCGCUGCCGCGCCUCCACCCACAGCAUCACUGGCUGCACGACCGGGUCUUGUUGCUGUUCCGCGGCCCAGAUAGCAUUGUCCACCACCAGCAGCUCUCUACAAGCCCCGACAGUCUUCACACUCCUCUCUGUCCUGCUUGUUUGGCCCCAGAACCAGCUGCUGUUCUCUGACCUUUCUGCGGUCACAAUACCGGCAGUCGUCUUCACUGCAGGGUCGACGGGACAGUGCGUCAGCGUUGCCAUGCCGUUCUCCAGCACGGUGAACCACGCUGAACUCGUAGCCUUGCAGCUCCUCCAGCCAACGAGCCAGCUGUCCCUCAGGCUCUUGGAAUGUCAUCAGCCACUGCAGUGAGGCAUAAUCAGUGCGUACAGUGAAGGGGCGGCCACACAGGUAGUACUUAAAAUGCAGUGCGGAAAAGACGACAGCAAGCAGCUCCCUACGUGUGACGCAAUACCGCCGCUCAGCUUUAUUCAGGGCUUUGCUGUAGUAGGCCACAACCCUCUCUCCUUCCGGCCAUGCCUGUGAUAGGACUGCCCCCACUGCAUCGCCGCUAGCGUCUGUGUCCAGAACAAAAGGCACUUCGGGGUCAGGGGCUGCAGAAGGACCAGCCCUGGACCCCUGCUCCCGCAAAAAGUCCAAGCCUAAAAUACAGGCAUCUUGUAAUUCCGCUACCCACACAGUGUGUCUCAUUUCCCCCAGUCAAUAUCAGCUGCCCUCUCCCUUUCAUUGGUGCUAGCUCACCAGUUACUGUGCGGAGCUGAACUGCUGUGUCCUCCA